Molecule: ribosomal RNA, 465 nt
Filed under: uncultured bacterium
Lineage: Bacteria
Description: partial 16S ribosomal RNA
Rfam family: Bacterial small subunit ribosomal RNA
Source: RNAcentral
GACGAACGCUGGCGGCGUGCUUAACACAUGCAAGUCGUACGGUAAGGCCCUUUCGGGGGUACACGAGUGGCGAACGGGUGAGUAACACGUGAGUAACCUGCCCACAACUUUGGGAUAACGCUAGGAAACUGGUGCUAAUACUGGAUAUGUGCCCCUGCUGCAUGGUGGGGGGUGGAAAGCUCCGGCGGUUGUGGAUGGACUCGCGGCCUAUCAGCUUGUUGGUGGGGUAGUGGCCUACCAAGGCGGCGACGGGUAGCCGGCCUGAGAGGGUGACCGGCCACAUUGGGACUGGGAUACGGCCCAGACUCCUACGGGAGGCAGCAGUGGGGAAUAUUGCACAAUGGGCGCAAGCCUGAUGCAGCAACGCCGCGUGCGGGAUGACGGCCUUCGGGUUGGAAACCGCUUUCAGCAGGGACGAAGCUUUUUGUGACGGUACCUGCAGAAGAAGCACCGGCUAACUACGUG